This 301-nucleotide ribosomal RNA is filed under the name uncultured bacterium. RNAcentral's name for it is "partial 16S ribosomal RNA". It matches the Rfam family "Bacterial small subunit ribosomal RNA", at positions 509 to 807 of the family's 1533-position model. The record is from RNAcentral.
CAGCCGCCGCGGGAAUACGGAGGGUGCAAGCGUUAUCCGGAUUCACUGGGUUUAAAGGGUGCGUAGGCGGUUUGGCAAGUUUGGUGUGAAAUCUUCGGGCUCAACUCGAAGUCUGCAUCGAAAACUGCCGGGCUUGAGUAUGGGAGAGGUGAGUGGAAUUUCCGGUGUAGCGGUGAAAUGCGUAGAUAUAGGAAGGAACACCAGUGGCGAAGGCGACUACCUGGACUGAUACUGACACUGAGGUGCGAAAGCGUGGGGAGCAAACAGGAUUAGAUACCCCGGUAGUCCCUGUCUCUUAUAC